AACUCGGUCUGGUCCCCUUCCAGAGUGUGGGAGCUUAGUUCUUUCGGUCUUUGCAAUAAAUCUUGCUGCUGCUUACUCUUUGGGUCCACACCGCCUUUAUGAGCUGUAACACUCACUGUGAAGGUCUGCAGCUUCACUCCUGAGCCAGUGAGACCACGAACCCACCAGAAGGAAGAAACUCUGAACACAUCCGAACAUCAGAAGGAACAAACUCUGGACGCGCCGCCUUUUUAAGAACUGUAACACUCACUGUGAGGGUCCGCGGCUUCAGUCUUGAAGUCAGUGAGACCAAGAACCCACCGAUUCCGGACACACUUUCAGAAUGUGACGAGGACCUGAGGGUCUGGAAAUAACUGGGAAAGAAAAGCCUUGUGGAAAGAAGACAUCUCCAGGGAAAACAUGCUGCUUCUUCAAAGACUCCAAUUUCAGAUGGCAAAAUGCAUGGAAGCUGAGAUGGACCUUCUGGAGUUUUCGAUAAACCACUGUAGCUCAGUCAGAGGUCCAAUUAUGAUGAUACCCACACAGCCCGGUCCUCCCACAGCCUACAUCCAAUCCUCUGAGGAAGCUGAGUGGCACUGCCUUUAUUCACCACAGAUGCUACAGAAUCAGCAGGAAGGAAGACUGUGAAAAGGAAAAAUGCACUCUUUUAAGAGAUGGAGUCUUGCUAUAUUUCCCAAGAUGGACUUGAACUCCUGGGCUCAAGCAGUCCUCCCACCUCAGCCUUCCAAGUUGCUGGAACUAUAUAGGUGCACACCACUGUGUCCGGCUAAAUUUGUGUAUUUCCAUGGAUGUAUAAUAUAUUUACAUAUCUACUAUCUUUCAUCAAAUUUUUUGUAAAAUAGACUCUGAAUUGGAGAUUUGCAUACAGGAAGUUUAAUGGUUUAUCCUCUGGAACAAUGUCUGUAAGAGAGGGAGGAAAGCAGGAAUGUUCCAAGGGAAAAGUUGAAGCAUGGUGAGUUACAACAGAGGCAUACAUUGUUCAGUUCCACAUGGAAAUUUAGAUCUUGGAUGGACCUUCCAACUGGUGUUGAUUUGAUAUCAGGAGCCCCUCUGUAACCACACAUUGACUAGUGACUGGAUAUAAGCUGCCCCUUGGGGAGAGGGCUGGACAUCAGACAAGGCAGAUCCAUGGAAAUUCUAAGAAAGUGACUCAAAUGUGGGCUAUCAGCAGCCAAUCUUCUAUGCAUUUGAUGGAAUAAGUGCCUCUGUCCUGAGGAGGUGACCACAACCUUCACUACAGUUCAUCUCUGUGCCACAUAGAUUUACUUCCCUGGUAGGAUGACCAAUAGGUGGGUUGUAGACCCAGUGAAAAUAUUCUGAGUCAAAGCUGCAUCUUCAUUUAUUUAUUAAAAUAUUCUGAAUCAAAGCCACAUCUUCAUUAUUAUCUGCUAUCCAUAAGUCUCACUUGAAUAGUGGGGCCAUGAUACACUUGAGGACCCCACAAAAGUCCUUGAAAUAACUUAGUAUUCUCUGUCCCUAGUAUUCUGUAUUCCCAUUUUACAGUUACCCAAGUAAAUGGGUAUAGGGUUUAUUUUUGUUUAAAUGAAAGUAUUGAGAAAAUCAUUACUGUAGACGGUUGCCAUGGUGUUGCAGAAUUUUUCCUCCUAAAAACUCAGAUUCUCCUUCUAUCAAUGGUUUCUGGUUGUGCAAAUUGACCCAGGUCCCGAAAUACAGUUUAUUAUAUAAAUACACCACAUUCUAGGUGAUAGAUGUUGAGAUUAUUUCUACUUUUUGGCUAUUAUGUAUAAUGAUGUUAUAAACAAGUGUGUUCAUGUAUUUGAACAUGUUUUUCUCUCUCUUGGGUAGAUAUCUAAAGGCAGACUUGCUAAGUUUUAUGUCAAGCAUCGAUUUCAUUUUUAAUAAGCUGCUAUAACUGUUUUUCAAAAUGGCUGUACCAUUUUCCCUUCUACCAAUAAUGCAUGAAGGUUUGUGUCCCCAAAAUCACCAACAGUUAUGUCAGCUGUUUUGAUGUUAGCCAUUCUAACCGAGUUUAGCUCGUUAUAGUUUGUAGUUCCUUAAAGAGUAACAAUAUUGAGUAUUUUUAAUGUACUUUCUUUUGCCCUUAGUGUAUCUUCAUUGCUGAAGUUUCUAUCCAACUAUGUUGCCCAUUUAAACAAAUUGGGAUGUUUGUCAUCUUAUUACUGAAUUAUAAGAAUUCACUGUAAAUUCUGGAUACAAGUCCUUCGUCAGUUAUAUAUAUUGAAAUUUUUUUAUCAGUCCAUAGCUUUUCAUCUUGCAACUCUUUUGAACAGCAAAAUUUUUCAAUUUUGAUGAAGUUCAAUUAUCAAUGUUUUCUUUUAUUGAUUUUGCUUUUGGUGGUAUAACUAAGAAAUAUUUGCUUAACCCCAGUUCAGAAAUAUUUUUCUCCUAAGUUUUCUUAUACAAAUUCUAUAGUUUCUGUUCUUACAUUUAAGUCUAUGAUUCACUUAAAGUUAAUUUUUGUGCACAGCAUGAUUUAAGAGUCAAAUCUUAAUUUUUGUAUAUGAAUAUCCAAUUUGUUGAAGACUGUCCAUUCUCCAUUAAAGUACCUUGGCA
RNAcentral lists this long non-coding RNA (2535 nucleotides) under Homo sapiens (human). RNAcentral's name for it is "HSALNT0392363". Lineage: Eukaryota; Metazoa; Chordata; Mammalia; Primates; Hominidae. The record is from RNAcentral.